UUAGAUACCCUAUUAUACUAAUAAAAACUUGAAUUAUUAAUAGGUAUAGUCUUUAAACUUGAAGAAUUUGGCGGUGGUUUAAUCUUAUUAGAGGAACCUGUUUUUUAAUCGAUACACCACGUGGAAUUUCACUCGCUUUAUUUAGUUUAUAUACCGUCAUUAUCAGAUAAUUUUUAGAGGAAAUAAUUAUUAGAGUUUAUGUAAAUUUAGAUAAAUUAAAUUAGAUCAAGGUGUAGCCUAUAAGUGAGUUAAAAUGGGUUACAAUAAAGUGUAUUUAUUAUGAAUUGGUUAUAAAGUUGAAUAACAACCAUGAAGGAGGAUUUAAUUGUGAUGCAAGUUUAGCAAGCUUGGAAGAUAUAAGCUCUAAACCAUGUACAUAUCGCCCGUCGC
Molecule: ribosomal RNA, 390 nt
Filed under: Rizalthus anconis
Lineage: Eukaryota; Metazoa; Arthropoda; Malacostraca; Decapoda; Xanthidae
Description: partial 12S ribosomal RNA
Source: RNAcentral